RNAcentral lists this ribosomal RNA (450 nucleotides) under uncultured Entrophospora. RNAcentral describes it as "SSU rRNA". It matches the Rfam family "Eukaryotic small subunit ribosomal RNA", at positions 569 to 1018 of the family's 1831-position model. The record is from RNAcentral. Lineage: Eukaryota; Fungi; Glomeromycota; Glomeromycetes; Entrophosporales; Entrophosporaceae.
CGCAGCCGCGGUAAUUCCAGCUCCAAUAGCGUAUAUUAAAGUUGUUGCAGUUAAAAAGCUCGUAGUUGAAUUUCGGGAUUGACACAUCGGUCGUGCCUUAAGGGGUAUGAACUGGUGUAGUCAAUUUCUCACCUUCUGGAGAACCGCGAUGCCCUUAAUUGGGUGUCGCGGGGAACCAGGACCUUUACUUUGAAAAAUUAGAGUGUUUAAAGCAGGCAUUUUGCUUGAAUACAUUAGCAUGGAAUAAUAAAAUAGGACGGCAUGAUUCUAUUUUGUUGGUUUCUAGGAUCACCGUAAUGAUUAAUAGGGAUAGUUGGGGGCAUUAGUAUUCAAUUGUCAGAGGUGAAAUUCUUGGAUUUAUUGAAGACUAACUACUGCGAAAGCAUUUGCCAAGGAUGUUUUCAUUAAUCAAGAACGAAAGUUAGGGGAUCGAAGACGAUCAGAUACCGU